AACGGAUCGUUGGUAUUGUGUUUUGCGAGGUUUAGGUUCAGAUUAUUUUCAAGGGUUCGCUGUAGUUAAGUGUGAAAUAGUAAGUAAUAUCAGUUGAUGUACUUUGAGUUUACGCGGAGCAUUAUGACGUAUCAUAAGCGACAAGUAAGAACAUACGCAAGGUAACGCGUGUUUUGAAUGGAACAGUCAUUUGAAGAAAUAUAGAUUUACUUCAAUAGAAAGGUAAAGAAUAUUAAACGUAAGAAUGCUAAACACUGUGGAUAUGAUCGUCGUACUUGUCUAUUUUGCAAUCAUACUCGCAGUUGGAAUAUUGGCGAGCUGCAGAUCAAAACGAACAACAAUCCAGGGAUAUUUCUUGGCCGGACGAAACAUUAUUUGGUUCUUGGUGGGGACUUCCCUUUUCGUCAGCAACGUAGGUAGCGAGCAUUUCAUCGGCCUCGCUGGAUCUGGUGCUCUUAAUGGGAUAGGAGCGGCUUCUUUGGCUUUGAAUCCACUUUUUCUCCUCCAGCUGUUGGGAUGGGUGUUCGUUCCUGUGUAUAUCGCAUCGAAGACCUCCACGAUGCCCGAGUACCUCGAGAAACGAUUCGGUGGAAAACGACUUCGUAUUUAUCUGGCGGUGCUAAGUCUUGUGUUGUAUUGUCUCACUAAGUUAUCGGUCAACUUAUAUGCUGGUGCUUUAUUCAUUCAAGAGUCGAUGGGUUGGAAUCUUUAUAUUUCUAUCACCCUGUUAAUUUGUAUAACAGGGGUGUUGACAGUAACAGGGGGUCUUACAGUUGUGAUGUAUACUGAUUCUUUCCAAGCUGUUCUCAUGCUGGUUGGAUCCGUUGUAUUAACUGCACAAGGUUUUUUACAAGUUGGAGGCUACCAAAGUAUGAAGGAUAAAUACAUGAUGUCAUCACCCAACCUUACACGCAUUGAAGCUGUCUACAACAUUACCAUCAACUCAACAAAUGAAUGCAUAAGAUACCCAAACCCACAAGCAUUCAAACUUUUAAGAGGGAUUAAUGAUGAUAAUGUUCCACUGCUUGGUUUUAUAUUUGGGCAAACUCCUUCCUCUGUAUGGUACUGGUGCGCAGAUCAGGUUAUAGUCCAGAGAACACUGGCAGCCAGGAACUUAUCUCACGCCCAAGGUGGGACAAUCUUGGCUGCUUUGUUAAAAACAUUGAGUGUUUUCUUCAUGUUGGUUCCUGGUUUAAUUGCUAGGAUCUUAUAUACAGAUGAUUUAUCCUGUGUACCUGGUGAACACUGUAUGAAGGUUUGUGAAAGUAACGUUGAAUGUUCUAAUCUUGCAUUUCCUAAAAUUGUGCUUGGGAUAUUACCGUCAGUAUUGCUUGGGUUCCCAUUAUCCUUCAAUUCCAAACGGCCAACUUUACUUCUACAUACAAGAAGUCACCAACUAUAUAUCACCACCAAUAGCAGCUAUCUUUGUCGUUGCGGUGCUUUGGGGAAAAUGUAAUGAAAAGGGAGCUUUCUAUGGGGGGUUAGUUGGAAGUUUGCUCGGUCUCGCACGUUUGAUCACGAUCUUUGUGUUUCAACCCCCAAGAUGUGGUGAAGCAGACACAAGACCCUACCUUAUAACAAGCAUGCAUUAUAUGUAUUAUGCGGCCGUUCUGUUCUUUACUUCACUGGUGGUUGCUAUUGUUGUAAGCUGCUUCACAGAACCAACAACUAACAAUAUUGCUCCACUUACUUACUGGACGAGAAACAACGAGGAAAAUAUCUCCCAUGAAACUGAGUUGCAAAAAAUGAAUUCAGAUCAAAGUGAUUGCGAUGAUGAUGUCAUAGAGUGUAAGGGAAAUCCCCAAAAUGUGGAAACAAUAAAAAGCAAUGGUUGUUGUGCUCAUCCAUGUAUGAAGAACUGUUUGAAUUUUAUCUGUGGCAUUGGGGAAUCCCUUAAACCGACACUGAGCGAGCAAGACACAACAACCUAUCAAUCUUCAUUAAAACAAAAUCCUAAAACAAAAAUAUUUCUAACAUUUCUAUUAUUUGUGUGUCUCGGUAUAGGGGCUUUUAUCUACAUCUAUUGGUCCAUCUAAUAUGGGAGUUGGUAAGGUAAAAUCUAUGUAAA
Non-coding RNA from Ciona intestinalis (vase tunicate), 2068 nucleotides. The record is from RefSeq and is a predicted model, not a curated record. NCBI's taxonomy places the organism in Eukaryota, Metazoa, Chordata, Ascidiacea, Phlebobranchia, Cionidae.